UGGGGAAUAUUGCACAAUGGGCGCAAGCCUGAUGCAGCCAUGCCGCGUGUGUGAAGACGGCCUUCGGGUUGUAAAGCACUUUCAGCGGGGAGGAAGGCGAUAAGGUUAAUAACCUUGUCGAUUGACGUUACCCGCAGAAGAAGCACCGGCUAACUCCGUGCCAGCAGCCGCGGUAAUACGGAGGGUGCAAGCGUUAAUCGGAAUUACUGGGCGUAAAGCGCACGCAGGCGGUCUGUCAAGUCGGAUGUGAAAUCCCCGGGCUCAACCUGGGAACUGCAUCUGAUACUGGCAAGCUUGAGUCUCGUAGAGGGGGGUAGAAUUCCAGGUGUAGCGGUGAAAUGCGUAGAGAUCUGGAGGAAUACCGGUGGCGAAGGCGGCCCCCUGGACGAAGACUGACGCUCAGGUGCGAAAGCGUGGGGAGCAAACAGG
RNAcentral lists this ribosomal RNA (429 nucleotides) under Chloroflexota bacterium. RNAcentral's name for it is "Chloroflexi bacterium partial 16S ribosomal RNA". It matches the Rfam family "Bacterial small subunit ribosomal RNA", at positions 355 to 776 of the family's 1533-position model. Lineage: Bacteria; Bacillati; Chloroflexota. The record is from RNAcentral.